Molecule: long non-coding RNA, 758 nt
Organism: Mustela erminea (ermine)
Lineage: Eukaryota; Metazoa; Chordata; Mammalia; Carnivora; Mustelidae
Exons: 6
Source: RefSeq, a predicted model, not a curated record
UACCUUUCAAAUGAAUACUCUCGCGCCUUUCAAAAGCUUCCCAUCAUGGCGGCUGCAAUUUUGAGUGGUUCCUGGGGAAAUGGUGCAGUGAAUGAGAGCAUCUGACACCCCUUGGACGCUGGUUGAUGUCUGUGGUUGCUGAUCUCCCCCAGGAGGACCCCAUGGUCUGGCUGCGAGCUCCAGACCAGCUCUUGGACCGGUUCUCUGACAACUUCAAGGCAAAGGGAACCAGCCUGGAUGACAUGAGUGCUGUUGAACCACAUCAAACCAAUGAUCUGAUCCUUAACAGCAAACAGCCCCUGGUCUUUUUAAAGGCAGAAAAAAAAAAAAAGAAAAAAGUCCUGUAACACGAAGGCAGAAAUGAAGGUGCGUGACUCAAAAUCGCACUAUCUGGAAAUUCAAUGAGCGGAUUCUUUUGUCCACAAAUUCCUCGCCCUUUCAACGAUCAAAAACGAUGGCUAUGUCAAAGACGAGAGAUGGGACUCUUCUUCUUAAAUGUGCAAAUGGAGAUUGGAGACCCCAGUUCACCAAACACAUUGAGCCCUGGUGGUGUUCAGGUUUCAUGAUUUGGUCAAGCCAGGGAAACAACCGGCUCUGGAUUUUCAAGGAACCAGGAUUUAGAGGCCAGAUGCUCCUAUAGAGAACAGGACUCCUCAGCCUUGCCUUGUCCCACCCAUUGAAUCGGAACCCCUUGGCCGUGAAGUCUGAAUUCACUGCAUCUCUUUGAACAACAUACUUGGAUUUUGGCCACACCCUCA